GAAGGUCCGGCUUCAUCGUCAGACGCCUCAUCCAAGAAGCCGAGGUUCAGUUCGAAAAACUUUUCGGCCACCUUCUCUUGGCAGAGCUCGAAGCCCUUGAUGAAGGUGUUCUGGCCGAACUGGACCUGUAGAUCCUCCAUCUCAGAGGAGGUCUUGAACUCCUCCACCGCUCGGGGCCCUGCCUCCGAGACUAGGGACGGGACCUGUGCCUUCAGUUUGGAGACCUCGACCUCUGCCUUCUUCUUUUCCUCCUCCAAGGCGGCCC
Molecule: long non-coding RNA, 265 nt
Filed under: Elaeis guineensis (African oil palm)
Lineage: Eukaryota; Viridiplantae; Streptophyta; Magnoliopsida; Arecales; Arecaceae
Description: long non-coding RNA (EGUI_LNC081217)
Source: RNAcentral